UACGUAGGUGGCAAGCGUUGUCCGGAUUUAUUGGGCGUAAAGGGCGCGCAGGCGGUUCGUUAAGUCCGAGGUGAAAUCUCCCGGCUCAACUGGGAGAGGUCUUCGGAUACUGGCGGACUGGAGGUGAGCAGAGGUGAGUGGAAUUCUCGGUGUAGUGGUGAAAUGCGUAGAUAUCUGGAGGAACACCGGUGGCGAAGGCGACAUCCUGGACCGGUAUUGACGCUGAGGCGCGAAAGCCAGGGGAGCAAACGGG
This 253-nucleotide ribosomal RNA is filed under the name uncultured bacterium. RNAcentral describes it as "partial 16S ribosomal RNA". It matches the Rfam family "Bacterial small subunit ribosomal RNA", at positions 524 to 776 of the family's 1533-position model. The record is from RNAcentral.